GACGAACGCUGGCGGCGUGCUUAACACAUGCAAGUCGAACGAGAUCCAAUGUGUAGCAAUACACAGGAAGAUCUAGUGGCGAACGGGUGAGGAACACGUGAGAAACGUACCCCAGACUUUGGGAUAACAGUCCGAAAGGACUGCUAAUACCAAAUAACGUCGGAAGUCCGCAUGGACAUCUGACGAAAGGGAUUCCGGUUUGGGAGCGUCUCGCGGACCUAUCAGCUAGUUGGAGGGGUAACGGCCCACCAAGGCAACGACGGGUAGCUGGUCUGAGAGGAGGGUCACCGACACGGGGCCUGAGACACGCCCCAGACUCGUACGGGAGGCAGCAGGGGGGAGUCUUGCGCAGUGGGCGAGAGCCUGACGCAGCAGCCCCGGGGGCGGGAAGAAGGCUUGCGGGUUGUAAACCGCUUUCAGUAGGAGCGAAGUUGACGGUACCUACAGAAGAAGGGCCGGCCAACUAUGUG
This 470-nucleotide ribosomal RNA is filed under the name uncultured bacterium. RNAcentral describes it as "partial 16S ribosomal RNA". It matches the Rfam family "Bacterial small subunit ribosomal RNA", at positions 28 to 507 of the family's 1533-position model. The record is from RNAcentral.